This is a long non-coding RNA of Neoarius graeffei (lesser salmon catfish), 1850 nucleotides long. RefSeq lists it as uncharacterized. The record is from RefSeq and is a predicted model, not a curated record. The transcript is spliced from 6 exons. Lineage: Eukaryota; Metazoa; Chordata; Actinopteri; Siluriformes; Ariidae.
ACCUAGACAUGAACAGGAACGGUGGAAGAAGCUCUUAGUCAACACAUUAGACAGGUGGAACUCAAACAAGAGGUUACAUUCUUCAAAGCAGCAAUGAUGAGCAGCAGCCGAGAACUCUUUGGGCAAUGGCUGGAUGAAGUGGGGUUCCCUUUCUUUCCUUCCCUCCUAUCCAAACUAUUCUUUUCUUCCUCCACUGGAGACACUCAAAGCAGAAAGCAGAAAAACUGCACAGAAAGUGGCGAAAAGCCUGAACAAGACGUUGAUGAACCAUCACCAUGGUGAAAUAAAACCCAGCAAAGACUAAGUGGACUCUUUCUUUUAUCUUUCUUUCCUCAAUUCAUACUAGUUAAACUUAAGUUAAUGAAGAUUUAUGUAGCCAUUUAAUUAGCUUUUUAAUUAGAUUUUAAAAUGUUACUACUUUUAAAAAUAUAUAAUUUUUAUAAAAUGUUAAAUAUACAUUAAUAUAAUAUACUUCAUAAUAAAUUAUUAUUAUUAUUAUUAUUUACAUUGUUUAAACGACCCAGACUUGUGUUUAUUUAUUCAGAUGCCACAUGAUAACAUUAGAGAGAUCAGUGGAUUCUUCCAGAACCUAAAUCUGGAAGAAGAAGAAGAAAUGGAAGUGGAUGAGGAUGUAGAGAAGAUGGAUGUGGAUAUGCUGGAUGAGGUAAUGAUGGCCUAUAAUUUAAUAAAUAGGCCUAUAAUUUGCAUGGUAUACUUCUGUUGUGGUCACAUGCAAUUUCAAGGCAGGUUGAAAUGCACCUUUACAUGUUGUUGAUGAAUUAUUUUUUUCAUAAGCAGGCCAGGAAUUUCACGGGGGCCACGAGGGCGCUAUUUUGCGAUUUUGUAGUCUGCCUCGUGACGUUACCAGGCCCGCCCACUUCUUUACGCUGAAUUUUUGCGGAAGAAGGGAAGAAGUUGACUGAGCUUUAAGCGUAAGGUCAUGGACGUUACUCCUCCUUGUUCCUGCCGUAAUAUGACACAAUAUGUGCUGAACCAAAGUCUGGAAGAAGAAAUGGAUGUGGAUGAGGAUGUAGAGGAGAUGGAUGUGGAUGAGGAUGGAGAGGAGAUGGAUGUGGAUAUGCUGGAUGAGAAUCCACAUAAUGACAUUAGAGAGAUCAGUGGAUCCUUCGAGAACCUAACUUUGGAGGAAGAAGAAGAAAUGGAGGUGGAUGCGGAUGGAGAGGAGAUGGAUGUGGAUAUGCAGGAUUAGUCUGGUCCAGUCCAUCCCUGCCUGAGUUUGUGGGACUUCCAGGCUGGAUCCAGGACCAAAAUUUAGUCCUGCCCUGCUGGAGGCCAUCUUCCCUGAAGCGGCACUCCCACACCUACGACCACGGCUCUCUCCCACCAGCCAGGGCCUACUUAAGAGCUGUUUGGAGCUACUCCAGUUGCCAGGCUGUCUCUUGCAGAUUUUCCUCACCUCGCUACAGCUUUUUGGUUUUGUGACUUCUCAAGUCCCCCUGCUUGUAUGGGUCCAGUUUUUUGCCCCUGUUUUACCUGCCUUUUCCUCUGGAUUGUGUUUUUUGCUUUCUCUGGCUGGGUUUCCCUUGUCCCUGUUUUCUUCAGUUUUUCUUCAUUAACGAAGUUCUUUUUUUGUACACUGCCUGCUUCGAGUCUGCUCUUGGGUCCUCACUUCACCUCAGCUCGCCAUUUCUGACAAACUCAGUGUUCUUAUUUUCCAGAAUCAAACCCAUCUGAAUGUUUUGGAAGGAAAAGAAAUCUAUACUUUUAUGGAUUUGGAAGAUAUCCAAUUGUGAAGGGAUUUCCAUAAGUUCAGAACUACCUCGCAAGCAUAAAACAUGUGUUCUGUCGUUUCUAUGUUUGUGGUACAAAUAUAACAAUUUUCUACUUCU